RNAcentral lists this long non-coding RNA (2600 nucleotides) under Nicotiana tabacum (common tobacco). Its description in RNAcentral is "long non-coding RNA (NTAB_LNC010872)". The record is from RNAcentral. Lineage: Eukaryota; Viridiplantae; Streptophyta; Magnoliopsida; Solanales; Solanaceae.
AACCCCUCAGUUGUCUCUAACACCUAAACUAAAAAAAACCUAGCCGCCCCAUUUCCCCCCAUCGUCUCCAACGCCCUCCGCCGCCGGAAAUCGGCUCACGGUGGCGGAACUUCUCCCAAUAGCCCCAAAUUUUUAUUAGUUAACCACUGUCAUCUCCUCUUCCAAAUCCCUAAAUCAAUUCUCUCGAAUCACUCUCAAACGCCCCGAAUUUCAAAUAUGAGUUUCAACCUAGAAACCCUAGUUCACCUAAAUCACCUCAAAAUCAUACCCCAUAGUCCUCACACCCCUCUGCCACGACCAAUUCACCGAAAACCCCAGCCAAUCUCUCCGAAUUUCCAAUCCAAUCUCUUGUACCCAUCUCCUUUUGGUCAGAGUUUGGGCAUUUGAACCCCAAACUUCUAUUAGCUGACUGUUCUUUUUAGGAAUAGUCGGUUAAUGUCAGUUCAAUGUUCAUAUUACCUCUUUGCUUCAAAGUUUGGUCAAGGCUCACCUGUUUGGCCUUCUUUGUUACUUCUGGAAAUAAGUUUGGUAACUCCUUUUGCCUUUCUUUUCUCUUUUCCUUUUCUGAAAAUUCCUUUUCAUCUUCUUUCUUUUAUGUUUAUUAGCAUGUUUUAGGUCUUUUAUUUUAGAAUCUUUUUUUUUGCAUCCGGUGAUUAGGUUAGUUAGAAGCAUGUGAAAAUUUCAUUGAAUAAGGAUUAUUUGUAAUUGCAAAAAUUUAGCUUAAUUAAGUUUCAUCCUUAGAGUCGAUACUUGAAAUGAGUUUGCAUGUUUUUCUAUUUUUUUUAUCUUAGGUCCAGUAUUGGUUUAGGAUCAUUUUUAGCCUAUCUUUGCAGCCCUAUGUUAAUUUCGUUUGAUUACUGAUAGAUUAGUCAUUGAAAUUUAGUUUUGUUUAGGUUUAAUUUAGAUAAAUAUUUUGUCUACCAAUUAGGUUAAUUCUAGUUCAAAUUGCAUCAUGUCUUUUAUUUUAUUUCUGUUGACAUCCUUUAAUUUUCAUUUUUGGAUUUGUUGAUAGACUUUUGUUCUUGUUUGCCCUAAUCUGUAAAUCAUUAAGACUUAUAGGGACCUAAUUGAAUUAAAGAAACUUAGGAUAAGUUUUCAGAAAAUAUCUAAGGAAAAUAACUUUCUAGAAAGGGUACAGUUGUCUUAGUUAUUGUAAAAAGAUGAUGAAAUAUAGGAUAAAAAAGGACAGUUGUACCAGGGUUGUAAAAAGAGACAGUACUAUAUUUUGCUAUAGGAUAAGAAAUAUUCCAAAAGAAUACCUAUCCUAGGCAACUUAUAUAUAGAUACUAUUCCUCAAAAACAAGGUAGAACUGGAAAUCCUAAGAAAUACACUCUAAAAAGUUCAAAUGUCUUAUUUUCCUUUGAUUUUAGCAAAAAUGGAAGAACUUCUUUGAAGAUUUCUUGUUUUCAUCAGUCAAAAAAUGGUUUUGAAGCUGAAAAUUCUUCUUUUGGGAUCUAUUUGAUUGCUAAAGCUUUUUGGUUCUUUUCUCCUUGACCUUUAUUUGGUCAUUUCUCUGUUUGUGUUUUCAAUUCCAAGAUAUGUAACUAUGUCCAUCAUAAAUAGAAUUAACUUUGAGUUUAAAAUUUGUGUUUGAAACUUGUUUUUUCGUUUGGCUAAACUUUGUUGUUAGUUUUGGAAUCCUUAACUUUGUGAAUUUAGGGUUGAUUAAAGUUUAUAAACCCUGUGUUGAUAUUACCUUAAAUGGCUGCUACAUUUGAUCAUGAAAUCAGAAAUAUUGUGUUGUGUAUGUCAAUGUUUGAUUGCUGAAUUAGUUUGUCUAUAUACUAUAAAACUAUGUUCAAAAUUCCCCUUUUCACAGCAACAUUAAAGGAAAUGAAUCUCACCCUUUAAUGGUCAGACUUACUCCUUAAUAGUUUAUAGAUUCUUAACUCAUCUUGAAUAUGACUAAGUUUAUUUCCCUUUCCCUUCCUUUCUUCUUUGCUAAGAUGAGCACUUAGAGUAGGAUCAUGGGUUGGAAGUUUUUGUUUGUUUGUGAGGCUGACCUUAAACAUGGUCAGACUCAUGAACAACAUCGCUUUUCCUUUUACUCAUUCUUGCAUUGUUAUUUAUGAUUGAUAAUACUGUAUGUCCAUACAUUUGAAGACAUUUUUGUGAGCCUAACCUUUUCACAUGGUUAGAUCCAUGAAAGUCUAUGCUGAAACCAAAGCAUUUUGAGUAGUAAGAAGCUUCAGAGUUGGAAUUAAAUGCUAGCCUGCAAGAAAUAACUCUAUAGCUGAUUUCUUGUAAGUUGAAGUUGUCUUUUUGAAAGAUUUUGUAAUAGUUGGGAGGCUUCAAAUUAGGAAGAAAGUUGGCUCUUUGCCUUAACCUUUUUCUAGACAUAUAAUUGUAUUCAAGAAAAUUAUGUAUAUUCAUGGACUUUGAGUAGUGGAAAUAGACUGUUAUAAUGAUUUUUAAAUUCAGUUUUCGUUUAAUUUAUAUAUUGGGUCAUAACAGUUGGACCUUUUUCUUUUUGUAAUGGACAUUAUUAUUGUAUUGUGUAAUGGUUUGGGACAUAGCAUGAAUUGGGUCAGACUCGCAACGAGGCCUGACAUUGGGACUCAUUUGAGCAAGUCUGGGACCAGGUAACUGGGCAUGGGCG